Daucus carota subsp. sativus is the source of this 2162-nucleotide long non-coding RNA. RefSeq lists it as uncharacterized. Lineage: Eukaryota; Viridiplantae; Streptophyta; Magnoliopsida; Apiales; Apiaceae. The transcript is spliced from 2 exons. The record is from RefSeq and is a predicted model, not a curated record.
UCUCUCUCUCUCUCUCGCUCUCCCUUGCCCUCUCCCUCUCCCUCCUCUCCCUCCCUCCCUCCCUCCCUCUCUCUCUCUCUCUCUCUCUCUCUCUCUCCCUCCCUUCCUCCCUCCCUCUCUCUCCCUCUCUCUCCCUCUCUCUUGUGGAUUCUGUUACUCGUGUUUGUAUGAUACAGCUAGCUUGUUGGAUUGUUAAUUGGUACUGAGAUUAGAGAGGAUUGAAUUUGUUCACUUUUAGGGGAAAUGAUUAAUUUCGGGAACAAGUGUAACUAUUACUAAUAUCUUGGAAUGUUUUGGUAUUCUAGGGCUACUUUUUUUAUACUGUUGAGCUAUUUGUAGAACUGCUUAAUUUAGUAAAUUAUGUCAACUAUAUGGGGACUUGAUGCUCUCUUCUUUUAAAUUGUGAGAUGGAGUUGGAAAUAUGUUGUAGCUCAUUUUAAUGCCCCAGCCCACAACUUGUCCUUGUUACGGCCUCAAACUUACUGAACCUCACUGACAUGGGUCAUGGGAUGUUACACUCGUUCUGUUAGGUUCUUUUGUAAAUAGUAAAUAGUUUCAUGGUUUGUUUAUGAGAAGUUAUGAAUGAAGCUUUUACCUUAUAAAUUCUAACUCACAUGUUGGCCUUACCCCUCAAUCAACAGGAUCAAUCCCAAAUCAUGUAGUGGAAACAAUAAAUGAACAGAGCAAGUAACAACUGCUUGUAGGGCUUGUUUGCAACAGUGAGUGUAGAUUAACCAAAUUGAAAUUCAUAUAAUCUACCUGCCUGACCUUAAAAUUCAUAUGGUGUCCUACAAGUGUUUUUUAAGUUAAGUAGGUCUGAUAUCAAACUAAAAGGAGUGCUGUUAACAACUACUUUGAUUAAGUUUAGUGAAAAAUGCUUUUUACUGCUCUCAUUGGGCAGACCAGAGGUGGGACUUUUAUGAUAUUCCUUCAUAAGCUUGGGUAUUAAUAUAUUCUACAUAUCAUAACAGUAGCUUUGUACAGCAUAUUAAUUUCAUAUAUGACAUAGUCACAUAGCCAACACUGCAGUUAGUGUUUGCUCAUUUUGAUAAUGAGUAUGCACUUUCUUGCUGAAAAGUAUAUUUGGAAUUGCUAUGAUCUGAUCCCAUACUGUCCGUUUAAAUUCUUGCUUUAAGAGCUUGAGGUUUCUUGUUAACAUCAGCUAUCUCUCGGUGAUUAAUAAGUGCUAAAAGGUAAAAUUACAAAUUUGACCUUAAAGUAUAUCUCAUAUUUAUAUAAAAUGGAGCGGUUGUUAGGUAAUUUGGUUGAUAUUUAAUUCUUCCCUCAACUGUUGCUAAAGUUUGUUUCAUUUCAUGUCACCUGGGUUGACUUGUUCGGUCUUUCACAAAUUCAUUAUCUUUUACGAAGACUCCUCCAUCUACUCUUACUCUACUCCUAUCUGUCAGUUAGGUGCUUGCAUAUUGCGCACAUCUGCUGUAAGUCUGUUGUAAUGGAGUUGUGUGGUUGUUGCACCUGGUGCCAGGUUGAUUAAUCAAAAACUUGAUUUCUUCCUACUCUAUUUCUGUUGGAGGCAUGCCAAGAAUUUCAUAUUCUGUUGAGCCAUCAGCUUCAGGUACAACACCAGGUUCUUGUUGCAGAAGGUUGAGUUUCUCACGUAAAGAUUGAAUCUCUUGGUCCUUUUUUCUAACAGAACUUCUCGUAUCUCAUAACUGCAAUGUUGGUUCAGAAAAAGUUUUUAUUUUUCUUCUUAUCAAUCAAGCUCUUCUUCACUUCCUUAUAGUUCCUGAGAAUUGCUGUGUUUUCCACCUGUAGAUUCCUUUCUUUAUCUUCCAAUCCAUUCAAGGGCAUCUGCUGCCAGUUCAGCUCAUCUUUAAAUUCUUGAAGUUCUUUUGUUCUGUGUCAGGAGGUCUCCCUGUAAUUUCUGGAUUGACAGCCCCCCUGGAGACUGGACUUGCUUCAGAUUAACUAUAGGAUUGUGGCCCUCCUUUUGGAUUUUCGAUUGCUCAUUCAAUCAGAGUCCGUUUAUUAUUAUUUUCUUUUUCUUCCAUUGUUGAACUGCUAAUAAUACCCUUAGACUUGUCCCCUUUACCAGUUUUUUUUAAACUAGAAGUGAUGUUUUAUCUGGUAGUGAUCCUAGCGGGUUAGCCUUUUAAUUUGAUCAGAAUUUAGAGACGGACUUUGUUUAAACGGUCCGAGGUUCA